UAAAGCACAAGUUUCUUUUGGAUAGAAAGUCAUAGGAAAUUUCAUUACCAAAUAACGUCUCAUAAUACAGCAUGGACAAAUAGGAAUGCACAUGCAUGUCUUGGCAACAACCAACAAACUCUCAAUUUUUAUAUAACUAUGAAGAUAGGAUUCCUAACACCGGAGAAAACAAGAUGCUACUUUGUGUCCUCAGUCCAGCAGAAGUACUUCAACAAUGACCAAACGAGGAGCAGUCUUCUUUCCAGCAAGUCUUUUACCUGAAAAAACAAACUGAGCAAAAGUUAAAGACAUGUAAUCAUAGGAAAUGACUUCUUCGAGCAUUCGUUGAAGCAAAAUCAUCAAUUACUGUAUCAAGAUUGAUAUUAUCCAACAUGCUUUUCUCAAUACAACACAUGGCCAGACCAUUCAAUCUUUCUUGGGACAUAGUUGACCUCAAAUAAUUUUUCAGUAAUUUUAACUUGGAAAAGCUUCUCUCAGCCGAUGCUACAGUCACAGGUAUGGUCAGGAGGAUUCGGUAAGCAAUUGAAGCAUUUGGGUAACAAUCUGCAGCUCGAACAAACUCAAAAAUCUCAUCAGCUGACACGAGGUUAUUUGGCAAAAUCAUUUGCAGAACUUUCAAUUCGGAAAACAAAUCAUUUGAAUCAACAUCUGAUGAGUUGUUAUGAGUAAAAGUAUUUGCAAAGUUGCUGCAACAUUUUCUUAGCAUCGUCCUCUAAUGACUUCAAUUCUUUCGAGUUGAACAGAAAACCAAACAUACUUCCAAAUGACUUUAGCUCAUCAAAUCUUUUGGUCAGUGAACCAAUUGCCACAUCUAUCAUGACAAGAAAAUAAUUUACUCUAAAUGACUCCUCGACUGCUUGCACUUCUUCAUCAUUUUGAUCAUUUUCAUUCAAUUCAUCAAAAUGUCUUUUCCUGGUAACACGACGUUUUGUAGGAAAUGUAGGUUCUACGUUCAUUUUAGAUGCAAUAGAUUUUGCAAUCUGCAUACUAGAUGUAAAGCCAUCAUUUCUAUACUUCUUAAAAAAAUGAAAUUGUCUCUUGAAUUAGCUUAAGUGUAGCAUCAAUGCACACAAACUUAGACUGUAACUUCUUACUAACCAAGUUUACAACAAAUAAAAUAUCAUACCAAAUUACCAUGCCAAGUAAAAAUUCAAAAUUUCCAAGUGCACUAACCAAAGAUUUUGCAUCACUCUUAGUUUUGGGGUCAUCAUCAGAAGUUCUUUCCAAUUCUAAUAAAGUUGAACGCAACUGAGGAGCUUGGAAUCUAAUUGCUUUAACACUUUUUAUUCGACUCUCCCAACGCGUAGUAGACAAAUAUUUCACAUUCAAGUCUGAAACAUUAUCACGCAAUAAUUUCCAUCUCUUGGUAGAACUUGAAAAUAAAACAUAAAUUCGCUGCACAACUCCAAAGAACAUAAUAGCUUUGCCGCAAGAUUUUGCCAUAUCACAAAGUGUAAGAUUCAAACUAUGACAAGCGCAUGGCAUGUAUAAUGCUCUUGGAUUUAUUUCAAGCAAUCGACUUUUAACCCCUUGGUAUUUUCCCUCCAUGUUAGAACCAUUAUCAUACCCUUGACCUCUAACAUCAUUAACAUUCAAAUCAAGAGAUUUAAGUGCAUCUAUUAGCUCCUUGAAAAGUCCUAGUCCAGAUGUAUCAUUAACCUUCAAGAACUCUAGAAAAAAUUCCUCUACUUUUGUAAUGGUACUUGACAUGUUAACACACCUCACAAUUAAAGUCAUUUGUUCUUCAUGGCUUACAUCCGGGGUACAGUCAAUUACAGAGAAAUAUUUAGCAUCCUUAAUUAUUCUCAAGAUAGAACUCUUAACACUAUCAGCAAGAAGAGCAAUUAACUCAUUUUGGAUCUUAUGUCCAAGAUAAUGAUGAUGAAUUUCACUAUUUUGGAUGCGCCUAAUAUGGUCUUGCAUUAUGGGAUCAAAUUCUGCAAUCAUUUCAACUACCCCCAAGAAAUUACCAUUAUCAUCUUGAUAAAGUUUCUCAUUUGUUCCUCGAAAAGCCAGAUUAUGUUUAGCAAGAAAUUUCACGGCAGCAAUAAUUCUUACUAACACUUGCCUCCACCUCUCUUUUUCUUUUGCAAUUUCAAGCUGCACAUCCUUAUCAAUAGUUUGAUUGUUACGUAGUCUCACUCUUAGUUCAUUCCACGUGUUCAUAUUAGUGAGGUGCUCGAUACUAUUCUCAUGAUAUUUAAGCCGCUCACUUAGAUGUUUCCAGUCACAUAGUCCCUCAGAUGCCAACAUACUUUUACUAGCUUGAGAUUUAAACAACUUGCAACAAAAACAGUAAACUUUGUUCACAUGUUUAGAGUACACUAACCAUUUUCUAUCACUUACCUCACCAUUGCUUAACUUUCUUGAGUAGUACGUGUUGGAAAUAUGCCCUAGAGGCAAUAAUAAAAUGAUUAUUAUAUUUCCUUGUUCAUAAUAAUUGUCUAUUAAUCAUGCUAAAAUUGUAUUAUCCGGAAAUCGUAAUACAUGUGUGAAUACAUAGACCACAAUGUGUCCCUAGUGAGCCUCUAGUUGAAUAGCUCGUUGAUCAACAGAUAGUCAUGGUUUCCUGGCUAUGGACAUGGGGAUGUCAUUGAUAACGGGAUCACAUCAUUAGGAGAAUGAUGUGAUGGAAAAGACCCAAACCUAAGCAUAGCACAAAGAUCGUGUAGUUCGUUUGCUGUAGCUUUUCUGGAUGUCAAGUAUCAUUUCCUUAGACCAUGAGAUUGUGCAACUCCCGGAUACCGUAGGAGUGCCUUGGGUGUGCCAAACGUCACAACGUAACUGGGUGACUAUAAAGGUACAUUACAGGUAUCUCCGAAAGUGUCUGUUGGGUUGGCACGAAUCGAGACUGGGAUUUGUCACUCCGUAUGACGGAGAGGUAUCUUUGGGCCCACUCGGUAAUGCAUCAUCAUAAUGAGCUCAAUGUGAUCAAGUGGUUGAUCACGGGAUCAUGCAUUACGGUACGAGUAAAGUGACUUGCCGGUAACGAGACUGAACAAGAUAUUGGGAUACCGACGAUCGAGUCUCGGGCAAGUAACAUACCGAUUGACAAAGGGAAUUGAGUACGGGAUUGAUUAGGUCCUCGACAGCGUGGUUCAUCUGAUGAGAUCAUCGAGGAGCAUGUGGGAGCCAACAUGGGUAUCCAGAUCCCGCUGUUGGUUAUUGACCAGAGAGUCGUCUCGGUCAUGUCUGCUUGUCUCCCGAACCCGUAGGGUCUACACACUUAAGGUUCGGUGAUGCUAGGGUUGUAUAGAUAUGAGUAUGCAGUAAUAUAAAAGUUGUUCAGAGUCCCGGAUGAGAUCCUGGACGUCACGAGGAGUUCCGGAAUUGUCCGGAGGUGAAGAAUUAUAUAUAGGAAGUGUAGUUUCGGCCAUCGGGAAAGUUUCGGGGUCACCGGUAUUGUACCGGGACCACCGGAUGGGUCCCGGGGGUCCACCGGGUGGGGCCACCCAUCCCGGAGGGCCCCAUGGGCUGAAGUGGGGAGGGGAACCAGCCCAUAGUGAGCUGGUGCACCCCCCCUUGGGCCCCCCAUGCGCCUAGGGUUGGGAACCCUAGGGGAGGGGGCGCCUCCACUUGCCUUGGGGGGUACUCCACCCCUUGGCCGCCGCCCCCCUAGGAGAUCCCAUCUCCUAGGGCCGGCGCACCCCCCUAGGGGGCCUAUAUAAAGGGGGCAGGGAGGGCAGCCGCACCUCAAGCCUUGGUGCCUCCCUCUCCCCUGCUACACCUCUCCCUCUCGCAGAAGCUCGGCGAAGCCCUGCUGCAUUCACUGCUGCAUCCACCACCACGCCGUCGUGCUGCUGGAUCUUCAUCAACCUCUCCUUCCCCGUUGCUGGAUCAAGAAGGAGGAGACGUCAUCCGCUCCAUACGUGUGUUAAACGCGGAGGUGUCGUCCGUUCGGCACUUGGUCAUCGGUGAUUUGGAUCACGGAGAGUACGACUCCAUCAUCCCCGUUCUCUUGAACGCUUCCGCUCGUGAUCUACAAGGGUAUGUAGAUGCACUCUCCUCUCGUUGCUAGUUGAUUCCAUAGAUUGAUCUUGGUGAAACGUAGGAAUUUUUUUUGUUUCCUGCAACGUUCCCCAACAGUGGCAUCAUGAGGUAGGUCUAUGCGUAGUUACUAUGCACGAGUAGAACACAAAGUAGUUGUGGGCGUCGAUAUUGUCAAUUUGCUUGCCGUUACUAGUCUUAUCUUGAUUCGGUGGCAUCGUGGGAUGAAGCGGCCCGGACCAACCUUACACGUACGCUUACGUGAGACCAGUUCCACCGACUGACAUGCACUAGUUGCAUAAGGUGGCUAGCGGGUGUCUGUCUCUCCCACUUUAGUCGGAUCAGAUUCGAUGAACAGGGUCCUUAUGAAGGGUAAAUAGAAAUUGGCAAUUCACGUUGUGGUUUUGGCGUAGGUAAGAAACGUUCUUGCUAGAAACCUAUAGCAGCCACGUAAAAACUUGCAACAACAAUUAGAGGAUGUCUAACUUGUUUUUGCAGCAAGUGUUUUAUGAUGUGAUAUGGCCAAAGGUUGUGAUGAAUGAUGAAUGAUAUAUGUGAUGUAUGAGAUUGAUCAUGUUCUUGUAAUAGGAAUCACGACUUGCAUGUCGAUGAGUAUGACAACCGGCAGGAGCCAUAGGAGUUGUCUUUAUUUAUUUAUGACCUGCGUGUCAACAUAAAUGUCAUGUAAUUACUUUACUUUAUUGCUAAAGCGUUAGCCAUAGUAGUAGAAGUAAUAGAUGACAAGACAACUUCAAGGAGACACGAUGAUGGAGAUCAUGAUGAUGGAGAUCAUAGUGUCAUGCCGGUGACAAGAUGAUCAUGGAGCCGGGAGCCCCAAGAUAGAGAUCAAAGGAGCUAUAUGAUAUUGGCCAUAUCAUGUCACUAUUAUUUGAUUGCAUGUGAUGUUUAUCAUGUUUUUGUAUCUUGUUUACUUAGAACGACGGUAGUAAAUAAGAUGACCCCUCAUAAUAAUUUCAAGAAAGUGUUCCCCCUAACUGUGCGCCGUUGCGAUUGUUCGUUGUUUCGAAGCACCACGUGAUGAUCGGGUGUGAUAGAUUCCAACAUUCACAUACAACGGGUGUAAGACAGAUUUACACACGCAGUACACUUAGGUUGACUUGACGAGCCUAGCAUGUACAUACAUGGCCUCGGAACACAGAAGACCGAAAGGUCGAGCAUGAGUCGUAUAGAAGAUACGAUCAACAUGAAGAUGUUCACCGAUGUUGACUAGUCCGUCUCACGUGAUGAUCGGACAUGGCCUAGUCAACUCGGAUCAUGUUAUACUUAGAUGACUGGAGGGAUGUCUAUCUAAGUGGGAGUUCAUUGAAUAAUUUGAUUAGAUGAACUUAAUUAUCAUGAACUUAGUCUAAAAUCUUUACAAUAUGUCUUGUAGAUCAAAUGGCCAACGUUGUCCUCAACUUCAACGCGUUCCUAGAGAAAACCAAGCUGAAAGACGAUGGCAGCAACUAUACGGACUAGGUCCGGAACCUGAGGAUCAUCCUCAUAGCUGCCAAGAAAGAUUAUGUCCUAGAAGCACCGCUAGGUGACGCACCCGUCCCACAGAACCAAGACGUUAUGAACGCUUGGCAGACAUGUGCUGAUGAUUACUCCCUCGUUCAGUGCGGCAUGCUUUACAGCUUAGAACCGGGGCUCCAAAAGCGUUUUGAGCAACACGAAGCAUAUGGGAUGUUCGAAGAGCUGAAAAUGGUUUUCCAAGCUCAUGCCCGGGUCAAGAGAUAUGAAGUCUCCGACAAGUUCUUCAGCUGUAAGAUGGAGGAAAAUAGUUCUAUCAGUGAGCACAUACUCAAAAUGUAUGGGUUGCAUAACCGCUUGACUCAGCUGGAAGUUAAUCUCCCGGAUGACGCGGUCAUUGACAGAAUUCUUCAGUCGCUUCCACCAAGCUACAAGAGCUUUGUGAUGAACUUCAAUAUGCAGGGGAUGGAAAAGACCAUUCCUGAAGUAUUUGCAAUGCUGAAAUCAGUAGAGGUAGAAGUCAAAAAGGAACAUCAAGUGUUGAUGAUGAAUAAAACCACUAAGUUCAAGAAAGGCAAGGGUAAGAAGAACUUCAAGAAGGACGGCAAGGGAGUUGUCGCGCCCGGUAAGCAAGCUGCCGGGAAGAAGCCAAAGAAUGGACCCAAGCCCGAGACUGAGUGCUUUUAUUGCAAGGGAAGUGGUCACUGGAAGCGGAACUGCCCCAAAUACUUAGCGGACAAGAAGGCCGGCAUCACAAAAGGUAUAUGUGAUAUACAUAUAAUUGAUGUGUACCUUACCAGUACUCGUAGUAGCUCCUGGGUAUUUGAUACCGGUGCGGUUGCUCACAUUUGUAACUCAAAGCAGGAGCUGUGGAAUAAGCGGAGACUGGCGAAGGACGAGGUGACGAUGCGCGUCGGGAAUGGUUCCAAGGUCGAUGUGAUCGCUGUCGGCACGCUACCUCUACAUUUACCUACGGGAUUAGUUUUAAACCUCAAUAAUUGUUAUUUAGUGCCAGCUUUGAGCAUGAACAUUGUAUCAGGAUCUCGUUUAAUACGAGAUGGCUACUCAUUUAAAUCCGAGAAUAAUGGUUGUUCUAUUUAUAUGAAAGAUAUGUUUUAUGGUCAUGCUCCGAUGAUGAAUGGUUUAUUCUUAAUGAAUCUCGAGCGUAAUGCUACACAUAUUCAUAGUGUGAAUAUCAAAAGAUGUAAGGUUGAUAAUGAUAGUCCCACAUACUUGUGGCACUGUCGCCUUGGUCACAUAGGUGUCAAACGCAUGAAGAAGCUCCAUGCAGAUGGACUUUUAGAGUCGCUUGAUUACGAAUCAUUUGACACGUGCGAACCAUGCCUCAUGGGUAAAAUGACCAAGACUCCGUUCUCAGGAACAAUGGAGCAAGCAACCAACUUAUUGGAAAUCAUACAUACUGAUGUGUGCGGUCCAAUGAGUGUUGAGGCUCGCGGUGGCUAUCGUUAUGUUCUCACCCUCACUGAUGACUUGAGUAGAUAUGGGUAUGUCUACUUAAUGAAACACAAGUCUGAGACCUUUGAAAAGUUCAAGGAAUUUCAGAGUGAGGUUGAGAAUCAACGUGACAGGAAAAUUAAGUUCUUGCGAUCAGAUCGUGGGGGAGAAUACUUGAGUCACGAAUUUGGCACACACUUAAGAAAAUAUGGAAUAGUUUCACAACUCACGCCGCCUGGAACACCUCAGCGUAAUGGUGUGUCCGAACGUCGUAAUCGCACUCUAUUAGAUAUGGUGCGAUCUAUGAUGUCUCUUACCAAUUUACCGCUAUCAUUUUGGGGCUAUGCUUUAGAGACUACCGCAUUCACUUUAAAUAGGGCUCCAUCGAAAUCCGUUGAGACGACACCGUAUGAAUUAUGGUUUGGGAAGAAACCUAAGCUGUCAUUUCUAAAAGUUUGGGGAUGCGAUGCUUAUGUCAAGAAACUUCAACCUGAAAAGAUCGAACCCAAGUCGGAAAAAUGCGUCUUCAUAGGAUACCCUAAAGAAACUGUUGGGUAUACCUUCUACCUCAGAUCCGAAGGCAAGAUCUUUGUUGCCAAGAAUGGGUCCUUUCUAGAGGAGUUUCUCUCGAAAGAAAUAAGUGGGAGGAAGGUAGAACUUGAUGAAGUAUUACCUCUUGAACCGGUAAGUGGCGCAGCUCAAGAAAAUGUUUCUGAGGUGCCUGCACCGACUAGAGAGGAAGUUGAUGAUGAUGAUCAUGAAACUUCAGAUCAAGUUUCUACUGAACUUCGUAGGUCCAUAAGGACACGUUUCGCACCAGAGUGGUACGGCAAUCCUGUCUUGGAAAUCAUGUUGUCAGACAACGGUGAACCUUCGAACUAUGAAGAAGCGAUGGCGGGCCCGGAUUCCGACAAAGGGCUGGAAGCCAUGAAAUCCGAGAUAGGAUCCAUGCAUGAAAACGAAGUAUGGACUUUGACUGACUUGCCCGUUGAUCGGCGAGUCAUAGAAAAUAAAUGGAUCUUUAAGAAGAAGAUAGGCGCGGAUGGUAAUGUGACCAUCUAUAAAUCUCGGCUUGUCGCUAAGGGUUAUCGACAAGUUCAAGGGGUUGACUACGAUGAGACUUUCUCACCCGUAGCGAAGCUGAAGUCCGUCCGAACCAUGUUAGCAAUUACCGUAUUCUAUGAUUAUGAGAUAUGGCAAAUGGACGUCAAAACGGCAUUCCUUAAUGGUUUCCUUAAGGAAGAAUUGUAUAUGAUACAGCCGGAAGGUUUUGUCAAUCCUAAGAAUGCUGACAAGGUGUGCAAGCUCCAACGCUCGAUUUAUGGGCUGGUGCAAGUAUCUCGGAGUUGGAACAUUCGUUUUGAUGAGAUGAUCAAAGCGUUUGGGUUUAUGCAGACUUAUGGAGAAGCCUGCAUUUACAAGAAAGUGAGUGGGAGCUUUGUAGCAUUUCUCAUAUUGUAUGUGGAUGACAUACUGUUGAUGGGAAAUGAUAUAGAAUUCUUGGAAAGCAUAAAGGCCUAUUUGAACAAGUGUUUUUCAAUGAAGGACCUUGGAGAAGCUGCUUAUAUAUUAGGCAUCAAGAUCUAUAGAGAUAGAUCGAGACGCCUCAUUGGUCUUUCACAGAGUACGUACCUUGACAAGAUUUUGAAGAAGUUCAAAAUGGAUCAGUCAAAUAAGGGGUUCUUGCCUGUAUUGCAAGGUACGAGAUUGAGCUUGGCUCAAUGCCCGACCAAGGCAGAAGAUAGAGAAAAGAUGAGUGUCGUCCCCUAUGCCUCGGCCAUAGGGUCUAUCAUGUAUGCUAUGCUGUGUACCAGACAUGAUGUAAACCUUACCGUGAGUUUGGUAGGAAGGUACCAAAGUAAUCCCGGCAUGGAACACUGGACAGCGGUCAAAAAUAUCCUGAAGUACCUGAAAAGGACUAAGGAAAUGUUUCUCGUUUAUGGAGGUGACGAAGAGCUCGUCGUAAAGGGUUACGUCGAUGCUAGCUUCGACACAGAUCUGGAUGACUCUAAGUCACAAACCGGAUACGUGUAUAUUUUGAAUGGUGGGGCAGUAAGCUGGUGCAGUUGCAAGCAAGGCGUUGUGGCGGGAUCUACAUGUGAAGCGGAGUACAUGGCAGCCUCGGAGGCAGCACACGAAGCAGUCUAGGUGAAGGAGUUCAUUACCGACCUAGGAGUCAUACCCAAUGCGUCGGGCCCGAUGACUCUCUUCUGUGACAACACUGGAGCUAUUGCCCUUGCCAAGGAGCCCAGGUUUCACAGGAAGACCAGGCAUAUCAAGCGUCGCUUCAACUCCAUUCGUGAAAGUGUUCAAAAUGGAGACAUAGAGAUUUGUAAAGUACAUACAGACCUGAAUGUAGCAGAUCCGUUGACUAAACCUCUCCCUAGAGCAAAACAUAAUCAACACCAGAAUUCCAUGGGUGUUCGAUUCAUCACAAUGUAACUAGAUGAUUGACUCUAGUGCAAGUGGGAGACUGUUGGAAAUUUGCCCUAGAGGCAAUAAUAAAAUGAUUAUUAUAUUUCCUUGUUCAUGAUAAUUGUCUAUUAAUCAUGCUAAAAUUGUAUUAUCCGGAAAUCGUAAUACAUGUGUGAAUACAUAGACCACAAUGUGUCCCUAGUGAGCCUCUAGUUGACUAGCUCGUUGAUCAACAGAUAGUCAUGGUUUCCUGGCUAUGGACAUGGGGAUGUCAUUGAUAACGGGAUCACAUCAUUAGGAGAAUGAUGUGAUGGACGAGACCGAAACCUAAGCAUAGCACAAAGAUCGUGUAGUUCGUUUGCUGUAGCUUUUUUGGAUGUCAAGUAUCAUUUCCUUAGACCAUGAGAUUGUGCAACUCUCGGAUACCGUAGGAGUGCCUUGGGUGUGCCAAAAGUCACAACGUAACUGGGUGACUAUAAAGGUACAUUACAGGUAUCUCCGAAAGUGUCUGUUGGGUUGGCACGAAUCGAGACUGGGAUUUGUCACUCCGUAUGAUGGAGAGGUAUCUUUGGGCCCACUCGGUAAUGCAUCAUCAUAAUGAGCUCAAUGUGAUCAAGUGGUUGAUCACGGGAUCAUGCAUUACGGUACGAGUAAAGUGACUUUCCGGUAACGAGGCUGAACAAGGUAUUGGGAUACCGACAAUCGAGUCUCGGGCAAGUAACGUACCGAUUGACAAAGGGAAUUGAGUACGAGAUUGAUUAGGUCCUCAACAUCGUGGUUCAUCCGAUGAGAUCAUCGAGGAGCAUGUGGGAGCCAACAUGGGUAUCCAGAUCCCGCUGUUGGUUAUUGACCAGAGAGUCGUCUCGGUCAUGUCUGCUUGUCUCCCGAACCCGUAGGGUCUACACACUUAAGGUUCGGUGACGCUAGGGUUGUAUAGAUAUGAGUAUGCAGUAAUCCGAUAGUUGUUCGGAGUCCCAAAUGAGAUCCUGGACGUCACGAGGAGUUCCAGAAUUGUCCGGAGGUGAAAAAUUAUAUAUAGGAAGUGUAGUUUCGGCCAUCAGGAAAGUUUCGGGGUCACCGAUAUUGUACCGGGACCACCGGAUGGGUCCCGGGGGUCCACCGGGUGGGGCCACCCAUCCCGGAGGGCCCCAUGGGCUGAAGUGGGGAGGGGAACCAGCCCAUAGUGGACUGGUGCACCCCCCCUUUGGCUCCCCAUGCGCCUAGGGUUGGGAACCCUAGGGGAGGGGGCGCCUCCACUUGCCUUGGGGGGUACUCCACCCCUUGGCCGCCGCCCCCCUAGGAGAUCCCAUCUCCUAGGGCCGGCGCACCCCCUAGGGGGCCUAUAUAAAGGGGGGAGGGAGGGCAGCCGCACCUCAAGCCUUGGUGCCUCCCUCUCCCCUACUACACCUCUCCCUCUCGCAGAAACUCGGCGAAGCCCUGCUGCGUUCACUGCUGCAUCCACCACCACGCCGUCGUGCUGCUGAAUCUUCAUCAACCUCUCCUUCCCCCUUGCUGGAUCAAGGAGGAGACGUUAUCCGCUCCGUACGUGUGUUGAACGCGGAGGUGCCGUCCGUUCGGCACUUGGUCAUCGGUGAUUUGGAUCACGGCGAGUACGACUUCAUCAUCCCCGUUCUCUUGAACGCUUUCGCUCGCGAUCUACAAGGGUAUAUAGAUGCACUCUCCUCUCGUUGCUAGUUGAUUCCAUAGAUUGAUCUUGAUGAAACGUAGGAUUUUUUUUGUUUUCUGCAACGUUCCCAACAGUACGCAUAUAAAAAAUGUCUAGAACUAGAAGUAUUAUCCGAUUGAAACACAAGAUUGUAGUCCCUUAUAGGCCCCUUCUCAACUAAAAUGUCUCUAGACUUAUUGUCAAGAUUCUCCCAGUUCCGAGGGUCAUAAAUAUCUAAAGGACUAGUUUCUUGUUCAUUAGGAAUUGGGUUUUCAGAAUUGGCAUUAUUUUCAUGCUCACCCGAAUUUCUGCCCUGAUUGUGAUCAUUUGUAGAAUCUAAGGCUUCUACGGGUUGUUGAUCUAAUUGAUUAGACCUCUCAGCAACGACUUUCCUAGGAAGAAAUUUGUGCAUAGAACCCUUUUGAGUAUCAAUGAACUCUUUUUCUGCCUUUUUCUUUCUUCUUUUCUCAGAACCAGACAAAUGCUUUUUAGGCAACAUUUUUACAUGAAAGGAGUGGGAACACCUGAAUUUGUCGGAGUAUUGAAGAAAUCCAGCUAUCCAGUCCCAAGCAUAUUGGAUCUUGCCAUCUAGCUAUGGUCCUUGUAUUCCUCAAAUGAGCAGCCUGUACAGUAGAGAAGAUCAGUCAGAGAAUCACUAAAAACAAAAAAAAACAGUCCAAAGAUGAAUUGGAAAAGGACUCAGAAUCGGAAAUUACAAGAACUUUGUGAGCGGAG
RNAcentral lists this long non-coding RNA (11731 nucleotides) under Triticum aestivum (bread wheat). RNAcentral's name for it is "long non-coding RNA (TAES_LNC026354)". The record is from RNAcentral. Lineage: Eukaryota; Viridiplantae; Streptophyta; Magnoliopsida; Poales; Poaceae.